Molecule: ribosomal RNA, 470 nt
Filed under: uncultured bacterium
Lineage: Bacteria
Description: bacterial SSU rRNA
Rfam family: Bacterial small subunit ribosomal RNA
Source: RNAcentral
AGAGUUUGAUCCUGGCUCAGGACGAACGCUGGCGGCGUGCCUAACACAUGCAAGUCGAACGGAGAAUUUCAAUAAGUUUACUUAGCGAAAUUUUUAGUGGCGGACGGGUGAGUAACGCGUGGGUAACCUACCCAUAAACCCGGGACAACCCUUGGAAACGAGGGCUAAUACCGGAUAAUCUUAAAGCUUGGCAUCAAGAUUUAAGGAAAGGUGGCCUCUGAAGAUGCUACCGAUUAUGGAUGGACCCGCGUCUGAUUAGCUAGUUGGUGGGGUAAAGGCCUACCAAGGCGACGAUCAGUAGCCGGCCUGAGAGGGUGAACGGCCACACUGGGACUGAGACACGGCCCAGACUCCUACGGGAGGCAGCAGUGGGGAAUCUUCCGCAAUGGACGAAAGUCCGACGGAGCAACGCCGCGUGUAUGAUGAAGGUCUUCGGAUUGUAAAGUACUGUCUUUGGGGAAGAACGGUCG